GCCGACUGAACUGCCCUUUCAUCCCUCAUGUUGAGCCAUGUGUCAACACCAUGUGACAACACCAUGGCUCAAUAUUGCUGCCCAUUUGUAUUGAAUUUUUCCUUUCUCAAGGUGACAAACCAAUCCACUAAUCGAAAAAAAAAAA
Molecule: long non-coding RNA, 145 nt
Organism: Syngnathus acus (greater pipefish)
Lineage: Eukaryota; Metazoa; Chordata; Actinopteri; Syngnathiformes; Syngnathidae
Exons: 2
Source: RefSeq, a predicted model, not a curated record